Molecule: ribosomal RNA, 465 nt
Filed under: uncultured bacterium
Lineage: Bacteria
Description: partial 16S ribosomal RNA
Rfam family: Bacterial small subunit ribosomal RNA
Source: RNAcentral
GACGAACGCUGGCGGCGUGCUUAACACAUGCAAGUCGUACGGUAAGGCCCUUUCGGGGGUCCACGAGUGGCGAACGGGUGAGUAACACGUGAGUAACCUGCCCACAACUUUGGGAUAACGCUAGGAAACUGGUGCUAAUACUGGAUAUGUGCCCCUGCUGCAUGGUGGGGGUUGGAAAGCUCCGGCGGUUGUGGAUGGACUCGCGGCCUAUCAGCUUGUUGGUGGGGUAGUGGCCUACCAAGGCGGCGACGGGUAGCCGGCCUGAGAGGGUGACCGGCCACAUUGGGACUGAGAUACGGCCCAGACUCCUACGGGAGGCAGCAGUGGGGAAUAUUGCACAAGGGGCGCAAGCCUGAUGCAGCAACGCCGCGGGCGGGAUGACGGCCUUCGGGUUGGAAACCGCUUUCAGCAGGGACGAAGCUUUUUGUGACGGUACCUGCAGAAGAAGCACCGGCUAACUACGUG